CUAGUCAUCCAAAGAGAGUAGCCGAGCCUAAGUUCGGCGUCAUGGCCUCUCCCGCCAUUAACGUUUUCUCCAUAAUUUCUCCCCAACAUCUCUGGCCGCCAUUAUCUUAUCCUUUCCCCUCCUCUCUAUGUCCUCGUUGUUUUUCACCUCCGAUUCAGGCCCCGAGGUUUUGUCGCCUUAAACCUCUCCCCAUCUUCUCUCCCUUUCCAGUUCCAUUUCGACCUUCCGUCCGCUCUCCGAGGUCCAUUUUCUCUGAAAAACCCCAACUCUCCGAUGUCGACGAGGAUGAGGAUGAGGAUGAAGAUGAAGAUGAAGAUGAAGAUGACGACGACGACGUGGCAGCCGAGGAGUACGAUAUCGAUGCGUUUGGAGAAUUGGAGCAGAGGUACGAUGAAGUGGAAUUGUCGAUGGAAGCUACUGAAAUCUCCAUUGCACCCGAGGAGUUCAAAUCGCAUAGAGUCGAAAAGCUUCUCGGUGAAGUUAGAGAGUUUGGAGAAGGAAUUGUCGACGUUGAUGAACUCGCUUCAGUUUAUAAUUUCCGUAUCGACAAGUUUCAGCGACAAGCCAUAGAAGCAUUCUUGAGAGGAUCGUCGGUGGUGGUAUCGGCGCCUACCAGCAGUGGCAAGACUUUGAUUGCGGAGGCGGCGGCUGUUGCUACUGUAGCCAGGAAGAGACGAUUGUUUUACACGACUCCACUGAAAGCAUUGUCGAAUCAGAAGUUUCGGGAGUUCCGUGAGACGUUUGGAGACAGCAACGUUGGGCUUCUUACGGGAGAUUCUGCAGUUAAUAAAGAUGCCCUGGUUUUGAUUAUGACUACAGAAAUUUUGCGCAACAUGUUGUAUCAGAGUGUUGGAAUGGCCUCAUCUGAAAGUGGACUUUUUCACGUUGAUGUAAUUGUUUUGGAUGAAGUUCAUUACCUUAGUGAUAUCUCUCGGGGCACAGUGUGGGAAGAGAUUGUUAUUUAUUGCCCAAAAGAAGUGCAGCUUAUUUGUCUCUCUGCAACGGUUGCAAAUCCAGAUGAGCUGGCUGGCUGGAUUGGUCAGAUUCAUGGGAAAACUGAGUUAGUAACAUCAACAAAGCGUCCAGUACCAUUGACUUGGCAUUUCUCUACAAAGGCCUCUUUACUUCCUCUCCUUGACGAGAAAGGAACGCACAUGAAUAGGAAGCUGUCGCUCAAUUAUCUUCAGCUUCAUGCUUCAGGAGCUAAAUUGUACAAGGAUGAUGGAUCAAGAAGAAGAAACCCAAAAAGGCAUGGGAAUGAGAUCAGCAAUGACCGCACUAGCAGCCUGUCUAGACAAGCUACACUUUCAAAGAAUGACAUAAACUCAAUCCGCCGUUCAAAUGUUCCUCAGGUCGUUGAUACAUUGUGGCAACUCAAGUCAAAAGAUAUGCUGCCUGCAGUUUGGUUUAUAUUUAGCAGGAAAGGAUGUGAUGCAGCUGUUCAGUACAUUGAAGGCAAAAACCUGUUAGAUGAUUGUGAGAGCAGUGAAGUUGAACUUGCAUUAAGAAAAUUUCGUAUUCAAUUUCCAGAUGCUGUCCGGGAAUCGGCUGUGAAAGGACUUCUGCAAGGAGUUGCUGCACAUCAUGCUGGUUGUCUGCCUCUGUGGAAGUCAUUCAUUGAAGAGCUGUUUCAGAGGGGACUAGUGAAGGUUGUCUUCGCAACAGAAACAUUAGCUGCUGGAAUCAACAUGCCAGCUAGGACAGCAGUCAUUGCAUCCCUGAGCAAACGAAGCAAUAGUGGUCGUACCCAGUUAACCUCAAAUGAACUGCUUCAAAUGGCAGGGCGAGCUGGACGUCGAGGUAUUGAUAAAAAAGGUCAUGUGGUGCUUCUUCAAACUCCAUAUGAAGGUGCUGAAGAGUGCUGCAAGCUCCUGUUUGCUGGCAUCGAACCACUUGUUUCUCAGUUUACAGCUUCAUAUGGAAUGGUAUUGAAUCUUCUCGCAGGUGCAAAGGUUACUCAUACAAGUGAAAUGGAUGGGACAAAAGCUUUCCAAGCUGGGCGAACGCUGGAAGAAGCUAGGAAGUUGGUUGAGCAGAGUUUUGGAAACUAUGUUGGGAGCAAUGUCAUGAUUGCAGCAAAGGAGGAGCUUGUUAAAAUAGAAAAAGAGAUUGAAGUGCUCAAUUUAGAAAUAACUGAUGAAGCAAUUGAGAAAAAAUGCAGGAGGCUCUUGUCAGAUGUGGCAUAUAACGAGUUAGUAGAGCUGCAGGAGGAACUGCGAUCAGAUAAACGUCAAAGGACGGAACUACGAAAAGAGAUGGAAUUGCAAAGAAUUUUUGCCCUCAAGUCUCUGUUACAAAAUUUAGGAGAUGGACAGUUGCCCUUUUUAUGUUUGCAAUACAAAGAUUCUGAAGGAGUCCAACAUUCAAUUCCUGCAGUUCUCUUUGGAAACAUGGACUCAUCAAAGCUCAUUAACAUGUUUCCUGCUGAUAAUUCUUUGAGUGGUGCAGAACCAAAUCUUGGUAAAAAUCUGGACCCAGGUGCUGAAUCAUCUUAUUAUGUGGCUCUAGGUUCAGAUAAUUCUUGGUACCUAUUUACUGAGAAAUGGAUCAAAACUGUUUAUAAAACUGGCUUUCCUAAUGUUGCUUUAACUAAAGGGGAUCCUUUACCUCGGGAGAUUAUGAGGACACUUCUCGAUAAAGAGGGAAUGAAGUGGGAGAAGCUUGCUGAUUCUGAGCUUGGCAGUUUAUCAUGUAUGGAAGGAUCUCUGGAAACAUGGUCAUGGAGUUUAAAUGUGCCUGUUCUGAAUAGUCUUUCUGAAAAUGACGAACUCUUGCAAAUGUCUGAAUCAUACAUGGAAUCUUUAACAAGGUACAAGGAGCAAAGAAAUAAAGUUUCACGAUUUAAGAAAAGGAUAUCUAGAACAGAAGGAUUCAGAGAGUACAAGAAGAUUUUAGAUAUGGCCAAUAUUAUAGAGGACAAGAUUAGACAAUUGAAGGCUAGAUAUAAACGGCUAAGUAAUCGAAUUCAGCAAAUCGAACCAUCAGGCUGGAAAGAGUUUUUGCAGAUCAGCAAUGUCAUACACGAAAUUAGAGCACUGGAUAUAAAUUCUCAUGUAAUGUUCCCACUCGGAGAAACUGCAGCUGCUAUCCGUGGUGAAAAUGAGCUCUGGAUUGCCGUGGUUCUAAGAAAUAAGUUCUUAGUACAACUAAAACCUACAGAGCUUGCUGGUGUCUGUGCAAGUUUAGUUUCUGAAGGCAUCAAAAUCCGCCCCGGAAGAGAUAACAAUUACAUAUUUGAGCCAUCAAGAACUGUAAUUAAUAUGGUUAAUUUCUUAGAAGAGCAGAGAAAUUCUCUGUUAGAUCUUCAAGAAAAGCAUGGAGUGGACAUACCAUGUUCCUUGGACAGCCAAUUUUCAGGAAUGGUUGAGGCUUGGGCCUCUGGUUUGACUUGGAGAGAAAUAAUGAUGGAUUGUGCGAUGGAUGAGGGAGAUCUGGCACGCCUCUUGCGACGAACAAUCGACUUGUUGGCUCAAAUUCCGAAGUUGCCUGAUAUUGAUCCAUCUUUGCAAAGAAAUGCAUCAACUGCUUCUGAUGUCAUGAAUCGUUCACCAAUAAGCGAAUUGGCUGGAUAAGCUCGUCUGAAAAUGGUGUCCCUCUGGUUUGCUUCCAAAAAAACGUUGCCCUUUUUAGAUGAAUAUGUUAAUUAUUCUUCAUGCUGCAUUUUUCACAAGGCAAUUAACAGUGGCGGGGCAUGUUCUUACAAGGCCGUUUAGCUGUUAGCUCAAGUGAACAUAACACGUCCUCUAAGAAGCCUGCUUCAAGGUAUGAAUGCGACAUCAAUCUCCUUUGUUCCAAAAAGGUGGUACCCGGAGGUGUUGGUGACAUACAAUCAAUUUCUUGCUUUAUUGUGUUUUAGAAGAACAUUCUUGGGUUGUGUGCUUGGCGAACCAAAAGAUUUAGGUAUGGGGUUUGUUUGCAAUAAACCUAUCCUAAAAACACAUGAAGAUAUUGCAAUAAACAAGGGAAAGUGAGGAUUGGUCAAAA
Cucurbita maxima (winter squash) is the source of this 3984-nucleotide RNA transcript. It is a transcript of the gene named DExH-box ATP-dependent RNA helicase DExH15 chloroplastic, with no coding region annotated. NCBI's taxonomy places the organism in Eukaryota, Viridiplantae, Streptophyta, Magnoliopsida, Cucurbitales, Cucurbitaceae. The transcript has 9 exons. The record is from RefSeq and is a predicted model, not a curated record.